AUUGAACGCUGGCGGCAGGCCUAACACAUGCAAGUCGAUCGGAUGAAGGGAUCUUGCUCCUGGAUUCAGCGUCGGACGGGUGAGUAAUGUCUAGGAAUCUGCCUGGUAGUGGGGGAUAACGUCCGGAAACGGGCGCUAUUACCGCAUACGUCCUGAGGGAGAAAGUGGGGGAUCUUCUGACCUCACGCUCUCAGAUGAUCCUAGGUCGGAUUAGCUAGUUGGUGGGGUAAAGGCCUACCAAGGCGACGAUCCGUAACUGGUCUGAGAGGAUGAUCAGACACACUGGAACUGAGACACGGUCCAGACUCCUACGGGAGGCAGCAGUGGGGAAUAUUGGACAAUGGGCGAAAGCCUGAUCCAGCCAUGCCGCGUGUGUGAAGAAGGUCUUCGGAUUGUAAAGCACUUUAAGUUGGAAGGAAGGGCAGUAAGUUAAUACCUUGCUGUUUUGACGUUACCAACAGAAUAAGCACCGGCUAACUUCGU
This 483-nucleotide ribosomal RNA is filed under the name uncultured bacterium. Its description in RNAcentral is "partial 16S ribosomal RNA". It matches the Rfam family "Bacterial small subunit ribosomal RNA", at positions 30 to 506 of the family's 1533-position model. The record is from RNAcentral.